Cercocebus atys (sooty mangabey) is the source of this 2522-nucleotide long non-coding RNA. RefSeq lists it as uncharacterized. Lineage: Eukaryota; Metazoa; Chordata; Mammalia; Primates; Cercopithecidae. The record is from RefSeq and is a predicted model, not a curated record. The transcript is spliced from 2 exons.
AGGCGGGGUUUCACCAUGUUGCCCAGACUGUUCUUGAAUUCCUGAGCUUAAGCAAUCCACCUGCCUCGGCCUCCCAAAGUGUUGGGAUUACAGGCAUGAGCCACUGCAUCCAGCCUCAUGUUCUUUUUCAUUAAAGAGGGAAAUCAACUAUUCAGGACCGGCCCCCACCUUUCCUCAGGAGCCAUUUCUGUUCUGCACAGGCCUGCUGAACUGGGUGCUUUAUAUAGGGUAAGUGUUUCUCAUUUUUUGUUCCCUGUCCUCAAGCCUUAAGGGCAAAAGAAACAUCCGAGACUUGAAAUUUCUUUUCUUCUUCUCAUCUGCAUGGCUCUAGCCAUCUCUUUGUUCUGCAUUAUCUUACUACAAAAAAAAAAAAUUCUUAUUUUGAAGCAAACUCAAAGCUGGGUCCUGAUAUCUCAAGGCACAGGUACUCGUACUUAAAGACAUUGUCAUCUCUCAAGUACCCAUCUUGGAGGGUACGGACCCCACAUGAGGGUGAGGCUCUCUGCACACUCCAGAGUGAGGACUUGAAUAAUCUAGUGGACUGUACGUGUUGGGAAGGGAAGAGCGGGGUGCCAAGGUUCUGGAGGGAAAAGAAUUGACUGACCCUUUUGCUCUUGGAGUUAAGCAGAAAUCUAAAGAGAAGGCAAAGAAUCUUGCCUUCCCGGCAUCAUUUCCUCCCACCAUCCUGGGUCAUCAUUUAUUUAUCACAGCCAACAGACUGGCCUUUUUCUUCCCUUUGACUGGGAAUGGGUCAAAGGCAGUGCAGGAGGAGUAUCUAGUCCAGAUAAUUCACAAGCAGGGUGCAUUUUCCUCUCAUUAUUGAGAACUGUGAGUGUUUAUCAAGAAGGCAGAGUGGGAGAAGAUGAACCAGUCUUCUUCCCCUCAGUACCCAGAUCUCUGCCUCCCAGCAAGUCCCGUGUUCACCCUGGCAAAGAGUCUUUACAUUCAGACCAAGGAGAGUGUGACUCCUUCUCAGCACUAGCUAGAAACCUCAAGCCCUUGCUUAAGGGCCUUUUUCAGAGAGACCCAGUGCCCAGAAGGCUAGAUACAUGGGGAGGAGCCACAUAUGAGAUACUGCCUCCCUGAUUCGGGUCAGAACAAGCCCCAGGAAGAAAGUAUUUCAAACAACAAGGUACAUCUGCCCCAACACAUCCAGACUGCAUGUUGGUGCUGAGAACAGCCUUUUAUGGGGCUUGCACUGAGCUAUGGGCAUGUCUGAACACAACAAGGAAGAGACCAGGGCAGUAACUGCACGCAAUGGGUUGAUGGGCAUUUCUUUUAAGAGAGGACAGAAAACUCUUAGAUACUUUGCAUCCUUCCUAUUUGACUCAGUCUAUGAAAGGUAGGUUAGCUUUCUUUCUUCCUCCCUAAAUCCUCCAUCCUCAUGCCCAACAAAGAAAUAGUUGAAUCAUUUUCCAGGCACAUUUGGGGGAGGAUGAGGGACCAUUGCAGGCUGUCCUUCCUAGACAAGUCUCUAGGAUUGAGAACAAGGAGUCUUACCCUUCUCUGUCCACCCACCCCCAUGAAUGGGCCUAGCUCCAGCUGGAAGUUGUGGUUUUUCCUGAGUUCCUCACCUACCUCUUCUGGAUUUCACACUGGCAAAUGGGGCUGCAAAGUGCUCUUCGUGCUCUUUGGACAGUACCUUGUGGAGAGGAAUGCCCGUGUCCCUGCAUUCCACGGCCUUGGUAAGCAAGCUCAGAGUAGCUGAAUUUUUCUAAAGCAAUUGCAGAACACCUGCUUUUUCUCUGUUUCCUCUAGAAAGGACCAACCACACUGAGCUCAGUUAUGGCACACACAGUGGGACCUAGACAAAGGGAGAGGGUGACCAGCAUCCCAACUAGGUAAACACAGAGGAGGUUCCACAUGGACUUAUCUGGGUGGCUGCUUUGAAAAUUAGAAACAGUCAAGAGUCCCUGGCCCCACAGACUCAUCUCCCCAACUCAGCACUGUCUAUCUAUGCAGCAGGUGCAAGGACGUGUUGAUGAACUAGCUCUCUGCAGCCUCCUUGGAGAAUGUGAUCCUUGGGGAAGGGUAGGAGUAUUCAGGUCCUCGACAUCUCCCAAGUGUGUGAUUCCAGGAUGCCAAAGGCCUUUGGCCAGGUAAUGCAGUGUCCACAGGCUGGGGUUGACAUGUGUCCCCUCCCUCUGAGAAAAAGAUCCUCAGGCAAUCCAUGUGCUUCUCUUGUCCUUCAUUCCACCGGAGUCUGUCUCAUACCCAACCAGAUUUCAGUGGAGUGAAGUUCAGGAGGCAUGGAGCUGACGACGAUAAGGCCUUGGCAGUCAAAGCAGCAGCAGCAGCAGCAAGAGUAACUCUGACUUAGGAACAGAGACAGCCAGAGAGAAAUGUGAUCAAUGAAGGAGACAUCUGGAGUGCAUGUGCUUCUUCAGAGGGACUGGUGAUGGGCAGAUUGGAAAAAGCACCACAGAUGGGAACCACUUAAUCUUUCUUUUCUAACAUUGAUGCUAUGAAAAUUUGCAUUUUCUGUAACUUGUAAAAAUUAAAAGUUGCUUGUCUACUGAAAA